CAAUAGCGUAUAUUAAUGUUGUUGCAGUUAAAAAGCUCGUAGUUGGAUUUCGAAUGGGAGCGGUGGGUCGGGUCCGCAAGGGCUCGUUACCUGUUUCGUCUCCGGUUCUUUUUCGGGAUUUGUUUCUGGCGUGGCUGGCAUUGAGUUGUCGGUGGCGUCGGGCCCGUCGUUUACUGUGAACAAAUUAGAGUGUUCAAAGCAAGGUGUGUCUUGAAUACAUUAGCAUGGAAUAAUGAGAUAGGACUUUGGUGGUUUCGGUGAAAGCCGGAUAUUUUGUUGGUUUGCACGCCAAAGUAAUGAUUAAUAGGAGCAGUUGGGGGUAUUCGUAUUCAAUUGUCAGAGGUGAAAUUCUUGGAUUUCUAGAAGACGAACUACUGCGAAAGCAUUUACCAGGGAUGUUUUCAUUA
RNAcentral lists this ribosomal RNA (407 nucleotides) under uncultured eukaryote. Its description in RNAcentral is "partial 18S ribosomal RNA". It matches the Rfam family "Eukaryotic small subunit ribosomal RNA", at positions 592 to 975 of the family's 1831-position model. The record is from RNAcentral.